This 253-nucleotide ribosomal RNA is filed under the name uncultured bacterium. RNAcentral's name for it is "partial 16S ribosomal RNA". It matches the Rfam family "Bacterial small subunit ribosomal RNA", at positions 524 to 776 of the family's 1533-position model. The record is from RNAcentral.
GACGAACCGUGCGAACGUUGUUCGGAAUCACUGGGCUUAAAGGGCGCGUAGGCGGGCUCACAAGUCAGGGGUGAAAUCCCACGGCUCAACCGUGGAAGUGCCUUUGAUACUGUGGGCCUCGAGGGAGGUAGGGGCGUGCGGAACUUCCGGUGGAGCGGUGAAAUGCGUAGAUAUCGGAAGGAACACCGGUGGCGAAAGCGGCGCGCUGGACCUCUUCUGACGCUGAGGCGCGAAAGCCAGGGGAGCAAACGGG